Myotis myotis is the source of this 796-nucleotide long non-coding RNA. RefSeq lists it as uncharacterized. The record is from RefSeq and is a predicted model, not a curated record. Lineage: Eukaryota; Metazoa; Chordata; Mammalia; Chiroptera; Vespertilionidae. The transcript is spliced from 3 exons.
UGACAAGCCACAGAAAUACCUGAUUUCAAAAGAGAUGCUUGCAUUCUAUACUGAUGUCAUCUAGGAGUAUAAGUGCCCAUUGUCACACUGCAGAGUGGAGAAAGGUUCCUAUGCUCUCUGUUCCCCUCUUUGCAAAAUGAAAGCAAACCAAGGCUAUGUGCUCACAGGAGAACAAGGCAAUGGGAUGCUGGGAUGCACCUUCUAGAUCAGAAACCCAUUCAUUUAGAGGAUCCCUUUGUGGCAUCUGGAUCUCGUCUCACUUAAGAUCAUAUAGCAGGAACCAUCAUCCCUGGAACCCACUUGAUUUUUAUCAGAAGUUUCCAACAUCCUGCAGCAGACAGAAUUGUUUCGAGGACUCCUCUAAGACCUCCAUCUGAGUGCCUGUUGAUGGGCUUUGAAACCAGUAAAUAAUCAAGCCCUCUGCAUGCUUUUCAAGGUCCCUACCUAUGAUUGAGAUCCCUUCCAACUCCACCUUUAUACUCCCACUAUGCAAGUGGCCUUUAAAAAUAGAAGCAUGUUCACCACAUACAAAAGCAGUACAAUGUAUGUAGACAUUUGCUAAACCAUAACAUUGUUUGCACAAAAGGUUCAAAAGAACUUUGGAAUGUAGUGGCAUGGAAAGCCUGGGCUUCUGCUAAUGUGACCUCCGAAGGUGAAUCCCAGGAAGUCCUGCCCCUGUAAUUCACUGUGAAGGACAUCAGACACUACUUCUAUUUUCUUUUAUGUUGUUGUCUCCUUCUCUGGCUUUUUGCUGGUGCCACAAAUAAUCUUGGAUCUUUCUUCUUAUUCUGUAAUA